This 510-nucleotide ribosomal RNA is filed under the name uncultured bacterium. RNAcentral describes it as "partial 16S ribosomal RNA". It matches the Rfam family "Bacterial small subunit ribosomal RNA", at positions 28 to 507 of the family's 1533-position model. The record is from RNAcentral.
GACGAACGCUGGCGGCGUGCUUAACACAUGCAAGUCGAACGAAGAGCGAUGGAAGCUUGCUUCUAUCAAUCUUAGUGGCGCACGGGUGAGUAACGCGUAAUCAACCUGCCCUUCAGAGGGGGACAACAGUUGGAAACGACUGCUAAUACCGCAUACGAUCUAACCUCGGCAUCGAGGAAAGAUGAAAGGUGGCCUCUAUGUAUAAGCUAUCACUGAAGGAGGGGAUUGCGUCUGAUUAGCUAGUUGGAGGGGUAACGGCCCACCAAGGCGAUGAUCAGUAGCCGGUCUGAGAGGAUGAACGGCCACAUUGGGACUGAGACACGGCCCAGACGCCUACGGGAGGCAGCAGUGGGGAAUCUUCCGCAAUGGACGAAAGUCUGACGGAGCAACGCCGCGUGAGGGAUGACGGCCUUCGGGUUGUAAAGCUCUGUUAAUCGGGACGAAAGGCCUUCUUGCGAAUAGUGAGAAGGAUUGACGGUACCGGAAGAGAAAGCCACGGCUAACUACGUG